UACGAACCGUGCGAAUGUUGUUCGGGAUCACUGGGCUUAAAGGGCGCGUAGGCGGUCCGACAAGUCAGGGGUGAAAUCCUGCAGCUUAACUGCAGAAGUGCCUUUGAUACUGUCGGUCUCGAGGGAGAUAGGGGCGUGCGGAACUCACAGUGGAGCGGUGAAAUGCGUUGAUAUUGUGAGGAACGCCGGAGGCGAAAGCGGCGCACUGGAUCUCUUCUGACGCUGAGGCGCGAAAGCUAGGGGAGCAAACGGG
This 253-nucleotide ribosomal RNA is filed under the name uncultured bacterium. RNAcentral describes it as "partial 16S ribosomal RNA". It matches the Rfam family "Bacterial small subunit ribosomal RNA", at positions 524 to 776 of the family's 1533-position model. The record is from RNAcentral.